Long non-coding RNA from Hyaena hyaena (striped hyena), 788 nucleotides. RefSeq lists it as uncharacterized. The record is from RefSeq and is a predicted model, not a curated record. The transcript is spliced from 3 exons. Lineage: Eukaryota; Metazoa; Chordata; Mammalia; Carnivora; Hyaenidae.
GUGUGUCACAGUACCCGCAGAAUAUUACCAAUCAGGGAGAUUCACCUGAGCCUUUGUGCAGAGUUUAUACUGAGGUUUGAUCACAUACUGCCCAUGUGGCUGACCUUUGGUCUCCAACCCCUCUGGUUUGUCAGGCUCAUGGCUUUAGUCCCAGUUCCUCUGGAGGUAGCAACUAAUACCGAGUGUUCCGGAGUCCUCCAUCACAAAGCACACUAUGAGGCUGUGCAGCGGCCAGAUUCCCAGGCAAACAAAGACACUCCCAUCAGACAGGCCAUUCAAGGGACGAAGAGAUCCCCACUCAGUAGCACAGAGCAAAGGCAUGACCUCUAUUCAGGCCUUAGCCUCCUCCCUGCCUGGCUGACUCCUGGGCUCACCACUCCCCCAUCCAGCCCCUUGACCACAUCCCCACUCCUCCCACCACCAGGACAGUGGGCUCUGCUGCCUGGCUCAUCAGCCCAUCAGAACCUCCUCCCUUCCAGAAGGCUGAGCACUCUAGAGCCUCAUGGAAUUCCAGGGGCAUAGAAAGAUCUCACUCUAUCCUGGACCAGAGAUGCAAAUAGGGUUCAUCUCCAGCAUCAGCAAGGUUAAUGGUGGUGACUGCCUGGAGCCCCACCUGGGAAAGGAAGCUUCCACAGGUCCUAGAGCAGCGCAUGUGCCACACACAGAUAUACCAUCCCUCUCUUAUGUUCUCUGAACUGGAAGUCUCCUCACUCAGCAGCUAGACCUAGGGGGUUCCCAAAAUGCCCUAUCAGCCAUUAUGAUCUGAUUUACUUUGAGAAUGUGCUAAA